GCCUGGUGGGUUGCAUCCACCUGAAAAUCCUCGCCAAAGAGGUGGGCUGUUAAAAACCUAAUGUUUCUGUCAGAUGCUGUCUUGCACAGCAGCACUCGAGGCUCUGUCCGCUCGAAGUAUAGCGUUGGCAAUGGCAUCCUAGCGCAGGCUUCUGGGUGCUCAUGGCUAUUAAAGAUGUGGGGAAUGCGUCAGGCUGGCAACAGAGCAGCGAAAACCGCACGCGUCGUAACGGUCGAGGGAUAGCAGAGCUACUGGGUGCGCAGAAACUUUUUGCAUUUUUUUAUUU
Molecule: signal recognition particle RNA, 286 nt
Filed under: Zancudomyces culisetae
Lineage: Eukaryota; Fungi; Kickxellomycota; Harpellomycetes; Harpellales; Legeriomycetaceae
Description: Metazoan signal recognition particle RNA
Rfam family: Metazoan signal recognition particle RNA
About the family: The signal recognition particle (SRP) is a universally conserved ribonucleoprotein.
Source: Rfam by way of RNAcentral